GAGGAAUAUUGGUCAAUGGGCGAGAGCCUGAACCAGCCAAGUCGCGUGAAGGAUGACUGUCUUAUGGAUUGUAAACUUCUUUUAUACGGGAAUAACAAGAGCCACGUGUGGCUCCCUGCAUGUACCGUAUGAAUAAGCAUCGGCUAACUCCGUGCCAGCAGCCGCGGUAAUACGGAGGAUGCGAGCGUUAUCCGGAUUUAUUGGGUUUAAAGGGUGCGUAGGCGGCCUGUUAAGUCAGCGGUGAAAUCUAGGAGCUUAACUCCUAAAUUGCCAUUGAUACUGGCGGGCUUGAGUGUAGAUGAGGUAGGCGGGAUGCGUGGUGUAGCGGUGGAAUGCAUAGAUAUCACGCAGAACUCCGAUUGCGAAGGCAGCUUACUAAGGUACAACUGACGCUGAAGCACGAAAGCGUGGGUAUCAAACAGGAUUAGAUACCCUGGUAGUCCACGCAGUAAACGAUGAUAACUGGGCGUAUGCGAUAUACAGUAUGCUCCUAAGCGAAAGCGUUAAGUUAUCCACCUGGGGAGUACGCCGGCAACGGUG
RNAcentral lists this ribosomal RNA (540 nucleotides) under uncultured bacterium. Its description in RNAcentral is "bacterial SSU rRNA". It matches the Rfam family "Bacterial small subunit ribosomal RNA", at positions 356 to 896 of the family's 1533-position model. The record is from RNAcentral.